RNAcentral lists this ribosomal RNA (497 nucleotides) under uncultured bacterium. RNAcentral's name for it is "partial 16S ribosomal RNA". It matches the Rfam family "Bacterial small subunit ribosomal RNA", at positions 28 to 507 of the family's 1533-position model. The record is from RNAcentral.
GAUGAACGCUGGCGGCGUGCCUAAUACAUGCAAGUCGAGCGAACGGACGAGAAGCUUGCUUUUCUGAUUUUAGCGGCGGACGGGUGAGUAACACGUGGAUAACCUACCUAUAAGACUGUGAUAACUUCGUGAAACCGGAGCUAAUACCGGAUAAUAUUUUGAACCGCAUGGUUCAAAAGUGAAAGACGGUCUUGCUGUCACUUAUAGAUGGAUCCGCGCUGCAUUAGCUAGUUGGUAAGGUAACGGCUUACCAAGGCAACGAUGCAUAGCCGACCUGAGAGGGUGAUCGGACACACUGGAACUGAGAAACGGUCCAGACUACUACGGGAGGCAGCAGUAGAGAAUCUUCCGCAAUGGGCGAAAGCCUGACGGAGAAACGACGCGUGAGUGAUGAAGGUCUUCGGAUCGUAAAACUCUGUUAUUAGGGAAGAACAUAUGUGUAAGUAACUGUGCACAUCUUGACGGUACAUAAUCAGAAAGCCACGGCUAACGACGUG